This is a transfer RNA of Ovis aries (sheep), 73 nucleotides long. It matches the Rfam family "tRNA". From Rfam's summary of the family: Transfer RNA (tRNA) molecules are approximately 80 nucleotides in length. NCBI's taxonomy places the organism in Eukaryota, Metazoa, Chordata, Mammalia, Artiodactyla, Bovidae. The record is from Rfam.
UCCUUGAUGGUCCAGUGACUAAGACUCUGGGUUCACAAUGCAGGGGCUCCAGGUUCAAUCCCUGGCCAGGGAA